UGCUGUGGGGCACGCCUACCAUGCAAGUCGAGCGGUUGCCGGGAGCUUGCUCCUUGAUGCGUCGCCAGACGGGUAAGUAAGGCCUAUGAAUCUGCCUGUGCCUGGGGGACGGCGUUUCCUACUGAACGCUGAUACCGCAACCGUCCUACGGCAGAAAACCAGGGACCGUCAGGCCUUGCCCUCUCGCAUUAACAUGUGCCCGAUUAGCAUUUUGGUGGGGUAAUGGCUCACCCACGCCACGAUCCCUAUCUGGUCUGAGAGGAAGAUCAUGCCCACUGGAACUGAAACACAGACCAGACUCCUACUGGAGGCAGAGGUGGGGAAUGUUGAACAAUGGGCGAAAGCCUGAUCCAGCCAUGCCCCGUGUGUGAAGAAGGUCUUCGGAUUGUAAAUCACUUUAACUUGGGAGGAAGGGCAAGGAGUUAAUACCUUGCUGUUUUGACGUUACCGACAGAAUAAGCACCGGCUAACUCUGUGCCAGUGCCCGCGGUAAUACAGAGGGUGCAAGCGUUAAUCGGAAUUACUGGGCGUAAAGCGCGCGUAGGUGGUUUGUUAAGUUGGAUGUGAAAGCCCCGGGCUGGUCUGGGAACUGCAUUGAAUACUGAGACUGCUAAAACUACAGUAGAGGGUGGGGGAGUACAUUUG
RNAcentral lists this ribosomal RNA (645 nucleotides) under Pseudomonas monteilii. RNAcentral describes it as "bacterial SSU rRNA". It matches the Rfam family "Bacterial small subunit ribosomal RNA", at positions 34 to 675 of the family's 1533-position model. Lineage: Bacteria; Pseudomonadati; Pseudomonadota; Gammaproteobacteria; Pseudomonadales; Pseudomonadaceae. The record is from RNAcentral.